RNAcentral lists this transfer RNA (71 nucleotides) under Candidatus Azambacteria bacterium. RNAcentral's name for it is "tRNA-Gly". It matches the Rfam family "tRNA". Rfam says of the family: Transfer RNA (tRNA) molecules are approximately 80 nucleotides in length. Their secondary structure includes four short double-helical elements and three loops (D, anti-codon, and T loops). The record is from RNAcentral. Lineage: Bacteria; Candidatus Azamiibacteriota.
GCGGGAUUAGUAUAAUGGCAGUGCGCAACCUUCCCAAGGUUGAGGCGCGAGUCCGAUUCUCGCAUCCCGCU